Molecule: ribosomal RNA, 379 nt
Filed under: uncultured cyanobacterium
Lineage: Bacteria; Bacillati; Cyanobacteriota
Description: bacterial SSU rRNA
Rfam family: Bacterial small subunit ribosomal RNA
Source: RNAcentral
GGCAACCCUGACGGAGCAACGCCGCGUGAGGGAGGAAGGCCUUAGGGUUGUAAACCUCUUUUCUCAGGGAAGAAGGACUGACGGUACCUGAGGAAUAAGCCUCGGCUAACUCCGUGCCAGCAGCUGCGGUAAGACGGAGGAGGCAAGCGUUAUCCGGAAUUAUUGGGCGUAAAGCGUCCGCAGGCGGUUAUUUAAGUCUGCUGUUAAAGCCCACAGCUCAACUGUGGAUCGGCAGUGGAAACUGAAUAACUUGAGAGCGGUAGGGGUAGAGGGAAUUCCCGGUGUAGCGGUGAAAUGCGUAGAUAUCGGGAAGAACACCAGUGGCGAAGGCGCUCUACUGGGCCGCGACUGACGCUGAGGGACGAAAGCUAGGGGAGCG